UCAAGCGAACAAGGGCGCAGGGCGAAUGCCUUGGCACUGGGAGCCGAUGAAAGACGUGAUAAGCUGCGAUAAGCUUCGGGGAGCUGCAAAUAAGCAUUGAUCCGGAGAUUUCUGAAUGAGGAAACUCACCUGGGUUCAUACUCAGGUACGUUAUACUGAACUUAAAAAUAGGUAUAUCGAGGGAACCGCCUGAACUGAAACAUCUAAGUAGGGCGAGGAAGAGACAUCAAACGAGAUUCCGUAAGUAGUGGCGAGCGAACGCGGAAGAGGGCAAACCGGAAGUAGAAAUACUUCCGGGGUACGGACUGCUUUUAGGACUUAAUCUGUUAACCGAACGGCAUGGGAAGGCCGGUCAGAGAGUGUGAGAACCACGUAGGUGAAAACGGAGAGAGCUGCGCAGGAUCCAGAGUACGGCCAGACACGUGAAACCUGGUCGGAAUACGGGGGGACCACCCUCCAACCCUAAAUACUACCCAGUGACCGAUAGCGUAUAGUACUGUGAAGGAAAGGUGAAAAGCACCCCGGGAGGGGAGUGAAAAAGAACCUGAAACCCUGUGCCUACAAGCACCUAGAGCACGUCAAUGUGUGAUAGGGUACUUUUUGUAGAACGGUCCGGCGAGCGAUUGUAUGCAGCAAGGUUAAGGACUUAAGGUCUGGAGCCGAAGCGAAAGCGAGUUUGAAAAGGGCGUUAAGUUGCAUACAAUGGGCCCGAAACCGGGUGACCUACCCAUGGUCAGGUUGAAGUGGAAGUAAAAUUCCAUGGAGGACCGAACCGACCUCCGUUGAAAAGGCGGCGGAUGAACUGUGGGUAGCGGAGAAAUUCCAAUCGAACCCGGAGAUAGCUGGUUCUCCCCGAAAUAGUUUUAGGACUAGCCUCAAGUUAGAUACCUGGAGGUAAAGCACUGAAUAGCCUAGCGGCCGAGAGGUUAGCGAAGCUUAUCAAACUCAGAAUGCCAGAGUAUUGAUGCUUGGGAGUCAGACAGUGUCAGAUAAAUGUCAUUGUCAAAAGGGAAACAGCCCAGAUCUACAGCUAAGGUCCCAAAGUCAGGUUAAGUGGAAAACGAUGUGAAGAUACGCAGACAACCAGGAUGUUGGCUCAGAAGCAGCCACUCAUUCAAAGAGUGCGUAAUAGCUCACUGGUCGAGCGUCUUUGCGCGGAGAAUUUAACGGGGCUAAACCUGACACCGAAGCUUAGGCAAUACAGUAAUGUAUUGGGUAGGGGAGCGUUGUAUACGCGGUGAAACAGUAGCGCAAGCGGCUGUGGAGUGUAUAGAAGUGAGAAUGCCGGAAUGAGUAGCGCGAAUGCAGUGAGAAUCUGCAUGGCCGAAAGCCUCAGGUUUCUGGAGGAAGGUUCGUCCGCUCCAGGUUAGUCGGGAGCUAAGGUGAGGCCUAACGGCGUAGCCGAUGCACAGACGGUAGAGAUUCCGUCACCACCAAAAGAGUUAAACACAGGGACACAUUUGAAGUCUCGGAGCCGGGUGUUGGUUCCGGUAGCGAUCGAGGGAAGUUAGUACCGAAGUCCGGGAUGGAAGAUGGCGAGAAAAGCUGUGUGUAUUUCUGCGGUGCCCGUACCGCAAACCGACACAGGUAGGUAGGAAGAAGAUUCUAAGGCCAACGGGAGAAGGGUUGUUAAGGAACUCGGCAAAUUGACCCCGUAACUUCGGGAGAAGGGGUGCUCCAGAGAUGGAGCCGCAGAGAAUCGGCCCAAGCAACUGUUUACCAAAAACACAGGUUUGUGCUAAAUCGAAAGAUGACGUAUACGAGCUGACGCCUGCCCGGUGCUGGAAGGUUAAGAGGAGAUGUGCAAGCAUUGAAUCGAAGCCCCAGUGAACGGCGGCCGUAACUAUAACGGUCCUAAGGUAGCGAAAUUCCUUGUCAGGUAAG
This 1884-nucleotide ribosomal RNA is filed under the name human gut metagenome. RNAcentral's name for it is "bacterial LSU rRNA". It matches the Rfam family "Bacterial large subunit ribosomal RNA", at positions 3 to 1980 of the family's 2925-position model. The record is from RNAcentral.